UCAAUACAGAUUGAGUUAUGUUGUAAGGUGUAGCGUCGAUUUUACACAGUUUCUGUCGUACGCUUGUCAAGUGUGACACAUAACGCCACGCGCUGAAUUUCUAUUACAUUUCUACCGUCUGAUCUUUGUUCGCUUGGUCGUCUGCGUUAUAGCUAUGUUUUCUGUAUAGAAGCACGGAACCCUCCAUCAAAAUACGCUCAGGCAGCUGCAGCAGCCGAUUCUGCUGCUGUAGCCGAUUCUGUGGGGAAUUACCUCGCAUAACAUUAGGGUGCGUGUGUACUACAAGCGCCUAGACAGAAGCGAGUCGUAAUUGGACAGAUAAGAAACAUCACCGCCUUGGCCUGCAUCUAAGUGUUACAUCGUUAAAACGAAGGUUGAGUGGUCAUCAGAGAAUGCCUCACACAAGACCAAAGAAAGUGCUGCACGAACAAAUUUACUUCAAGAUACACUUCUUCAUGAAUAACAAGGACAAAGAUGGAUCGGCCUAGCUGACAAACAUUUCGAGAAUGUACCGUCAGGCGGGGAACUGGAAGUGUUUACAAAAAAGACGGACGUAAUAUCCGCUUUUAGGAAAUGUACAAUAGCAUUUCAGCAGUGGUCCCAUACGAUUAAUUAGAUUUGAAGCAAUAUUAGCGAUGGCGGAGAACACACUCUUAUGAAACUGACUGACGAAGAAGCAACAAUUUGGUUAUCAAGUUAAGAUAUGCUGACCCCACAUUGCGCCAGCUGAGCGUCAAAGUAGCGUUGUCAAAGCGAGUUCCUCCGAAGUAAAAGCGUUCAGUGUCUCAAUCUAGACUUAUCCACUGGAUUCGUAUGUAAAAAUUGAAUGUAGCCAAGCGUUGCUGGAAUACGGCGGACCUUAACAAUGUCUUGCUGCUAUUCCCUUAUCAGUUUUCAGGAAAAUAUACUACGUAGCGUUUACCUUGUGAUUCAGCACUGAUCCGUCUUGUAGCCGGAAAGCGCUGCUAAUAAAUAAAAGCUACA
Molecule: long non-coding RNA, 984 nt
Organism: Varroa destructor (honeybee mite)
Lineage: Eukaryota; Metazoa; Arthropoda; Arachnida; Mesostigmata; Varroidae
Source: RefSeq, a predicted model, not a curated record